GUCUACAGCCAUAACACCCUGACCGUGCCAAUCUCGUCUGGUCUCAGAAGCUAAGCAGGGUUGGGUCUGCUUAGUACUUGGGUGGGAGACAGAUCUUCAGAAGAGACUGCUCAGAGACA
Castor canadensis (American beaver) is the source of this 119-nucleotide ribosomal RNA. NCBI's taxonomy places the organism in Eukaryota, Metazoa, Chordata, Mammalia, Rodentia, Castoridae. The record is from Ensembl.